RNAcentral lists this non-coding RNA (32 nucleotides) under Mus musculus (house mouse). Lineage: Eukaryota; Metazoa; Chordata; Mammalia; Rodentia; Muridae. The record is from RNAcentral.
UGAAAAGAAUGGACUAAAAGCAUCUUCAAGAA